RNAcentral lists this ribosomal RNA (497 nucleotides) under uncultured bacterium. RNAcentral's name for it is "partial 16S ribosomal RNA". It matches the Rfam family "Bacterial small subunit ribosomal RNA", at positions 28 to 507 of the family's 1533-position model. The record is from RNAcentral.
GAUGAACGCUGGCGGCGUGCCUAAUACGUGCAAGUCGAGCGAACAGAUGAGGAGCUUGCUCCUCUGACGUUAGCGGCGGACGGGUGAGUAACACGUGGAUAACCUACCUAUAAGACUGGGAUAACUUCGGGAAACCGGAGCUAAUACCGGAUAAUAUAUUGAACCGCAUGGUUCAAUAGUGAAAGACGGUUUUGCUGUCACUUAUAGAUGGAUCCGCGCCGCAUUAGCUAGUUGGUAAGGUAACGGCUUACCAAGGCAACGGUGCGUAGCCGACCUGAGAGGGUGAUCGGCCAAACUGGAACUGAGACACGGUCCAGACUCCUACGGGAGGCAGCAGUAGGGAAUCUUCCGCAAUGGGCGAAAGCUUGACGGAGCAAAGCCGCGUGAGUGAUGAAGGUCUUCGGAUCGUAAAACUCUGUUAUUAGGGAAGACCAAAUGUGUAAGUAACUAUGCACGUCUUGACGGUACCUAAUCAGAAAGCCACGGCUAACUACGUG